AGUAACGCGUGAGGAACCUGCCUCAAAGAGGGGGAUAACUACUGGAAACGGUGGCUAAUACCGCAUAAUGUCUACGGACCAAAGCAGGGGCUCUUCGGACCUUGCACUAUCGGAUGAACCCAUAUGGGAUUAGCUAGUAGGUGGGGUAAAGGCUCACCUAGGCGACGAUCUCUAGCUGGUCUGAGAGGAUGAUCAGCCACACUGGGACUGAGACACGGCCCAG
This 223-nucleotide ribosomal RNA is filed under the name uncultured bacterium. RNAcentral's name for it is "partial 16S ribosomal RNA". It matches the Rfam family "Bacterial small subunit ribosomal RNA", at positions 109 to 334 of the family's 1533-position model. The record is from RNAcentral.